Molecule: ribosomal RNA, 492 nt
Filed under: uncultured bacterium
Lineage: Bacteria
Description: partial 16S ribosomal RNA
Rfam family: Bacterial small subunit ribosomal RNA
Source: RNAcentral
AUUGAACGCUGGCGGCAUGCUUUACACAUGCAAGUCGAACGGUAACAGGCCUUCGGGUGCUGACGAGUGGCGAACGGGUGAGUAAUGCAUCGGAACGUGCCCAGAGGUGGGGGAUAACGCAGCGAAAGCUGUGCUAAUACCGCAUGUGAUCUGAGGAUGAAAGCGGGGGACCAGGCAGCAAUGUUUGGCCUCGCGCCUUUGGAGCGGCCGAUGUCAGAUUAGGUAGUUGGGGGGGUAAAGGCCUACCAAGCCGACGAUCUGUAGCUGGUCUGAGAGGACGACCAGCCACACUGGGACUGAGACACGGCCCAGACUCCUACGGGAGGCAGCAGUGGGGAAUUUUGGACAAUGGGCGCAAGCCUGAUCCAGCAAUGCCGCGUGCGGGAAGAAGGCCUUCGGGUUGUAAACCGCUUUUGUACGGAACGAAAAGGCUCUGGCUAAUACCUGGGGCUGAUGACGGUACCGGAAGAAUAAGCACCGGCUAACUACGUG